RNA transcript from Echinops telfairi (small Madagascar hedgehog), 1381 nucleotides. It is a transcript of the gene named sulfatase modifying factor 2, with no coding region annotated. The record is from RefSeq and is a predicted model, not a curated record. NCBI's taxonomy places the organism in Eukaryota, Metazoa, Chordata, Mammalia, Afrosoricida, Tenrecidae. The transcript has 11 exons.
CUUAGCAGCAAGCAUGGGCUCUCCACUGCCCCUCCUGCCCCUGCUGCCGGUGCUGCUCGUCCCGUGGCUCCAGCCAGGAAAUGGACAGAUUGCCGGCAUGGUCCAGCUGCCAGGUGGGAAGUUUCAGAUGGGCACAAAUUCUCCAGACGCCCGAGAUGGUGAGGGGCCUGCCCGGGUGGUGACAGUUAAACCCUUUGCCAUCGACAUAUUUCCUGUCACCAACAAAGACUUCAGGGAGUUCGUCAGGGCGAGCAAAUACCGGACGGAGGCGGAGUCCUUCGGGUGGAGCUUUGUCUUCGAGGACUUGGUCUCUGAUGAACUGAAGAAGAAAGCCACCCACCAGAGGCAGUCUCUCCUCUGGUGGUUUCCUGUGGACCAGGCAUUUUGGAGGCAGCCUGCAGGUCCCGGCUCCGGCAUCCGAGAGAAACUGGAGCUGCCUGUGCUCCAUGUGAGCUGGAACGACGCCCGUGCCUACUGUGCGUGGCGCGGGAAGCGGCUGCCCACCGAGGAGGAGUGGGAGUUCGCCGCACGAGGGGGCCUACAGGGUCAAGUCUACCCCUGGGGGAAUCAGUUCCAGCCCAACCGCACCAACCUGUGGCAGGGAGCAUUUCCCAAAGGUGACCGGGCUGAGGAUGGCUUCCACGGGGCCUCCCCGGUGAACGCGUUCCCCCCACAGAACAGCUACGGCCUCCAUGACCUCAUGGGCAAUGUGUGGGAGUGGACAGCCUCGAGCUACCAGUCUGGCAAGCAGGACAUGCGCGUACUCCGGGGGGCAUCCUGGAUUGACACCGCCGAUGGCUCAGCCAACCACCGAGCUCGGGUCACCACCAGUGAAAAUGCCAACACGAAGUCAGGGAUGUCACCUGCCUUGUGCACCACUGGAUCCUCCAAGCCUGGAAUAAUGACUGUGGGACCCACGCUUGUCCUUGGUCGCUGCCCUCAGGCUGACCCUGACUCAUGGUGACCCCACACACCACGGAAGGAAAUGAUGCCCAGUCCCGUGUCAUCCCCAUGAUCAGUUGUGGGUCGGACUGUGAAAAGCCAUCAGGUGGAUGCGAAUUUCACACCAAGGACAAUGAUUUAAAGACACACUGCCACAUAAAAUGACUACAUGCAGAGUGAGGACAUGAGGAUCAGCACUCUUAGGCUGACAGGAAAAAGGUGAUCACCGUGGCACAUUCAAGACAGCCCUGAGCUUCAGAGUUCCCAUGAGAGAUUUAAUUAGCGGCUCUCUUAAAGGAGACGCAUAGGCCUGCCAAGAGCAUUUUAUGCCCCAUGACCCAACCCUCUCACUUUUCUGACUUCUCCCCCCUUCUUGUUAACAUAAACUUACUCCCUCCCCAAGCAUUACAAGUCUAAUUAAAAAUCUUCUGGAUGGUAA